GACGAACGCUGGCGGCGUGCUUAACACAUGCAAGUCGAACGGUAAGGCCCUUAGGGGUACACGAGUGGCGAACGGGUGAGUAACACGUGGAUGAUCUGCCCUGCACUUCGGGAUAAGCCUGGGAAACUGGGUCUAAUACCGGAUAGGACCACUGCCUGCAUGGGUGGUGGUGGAAAGCUUUUGCGGUGUGGGAUGGGCCCGCGGUUUAUCAGCUAGUUGGUGAGGUAAUGGCUCACCAAGGCGAUGACGGGUAGGGGAGCUGAGAGGCUGAACACGACCGAUGUAAAUGAGACACGGUCCAUACAGCUACGGGUGGCUGAAGCCGAGAAUAUUCGACAAUGGGCGAAAGCCUGAUCGGGCGACGCCGCGUGAUGGAUGAAGUCCUUCGGGAUGUGAAGAUCUUUUAUGGGGGAGGAAGUUUAUUGACGUUACCCCAAGAAUAAGAGGUUGCUAAACUCGUGCCAGCCGCCGCGGUAA
This 477-nucleotide ribosomal RNA is filed under the name uncultured bacterium. RNAcentral's name for it is "partial 16S ribosomal RNA". It matches the Rfam family "Bacterial small subunit ribosomal RNA", at positions 28 to 523 of the family's 1533-position model. The record is from RNAcentral.